Non-coding RNA from Oryza glaberrima (African rice), 202 nucleotides. The record is from Rfam. NCBI's taxonomy places the organism in Eukaryota, Viridiplantae, Streptophyta, Magnoliopsida, Poales, Poaceae.
UAUAAAUGCGGUUGUGGAUUGUCGUGUCCAACAUUUAACCCUCCGUUUCAUUUGAAAAAAAUUAUGACUAAUAUUUUUGUUGUUAUUAGAUGAUAAAGCAUGAAUAGUAUUUUCUGUGUGACUUUUUUAGUUUUUUCAUAAAUUUUUUUAAAUAAGACGGACGGUUAAACGUUGGACACGGAAAUCCACAACUGUACUUAUA